UACGUAGGUGACCAGCGUUGUCCGGAUUUACUGGGCGUAAAGAGCGCGCAGGCGGUCGUUCAAGUCGAGUGUGAAAGCCCCCGGCUCAACUGGGGAGGGUCAUUCGAUACUGAUCGACUGGAAGGCAGGAGAGGGAAGCGGAAUUCCCGGUGUAGUGGUGAAAUGCGUAGAUAUCGGGAGGAACACCAGUGGCGAAGGCGGCUUCCUGGCCUGUUCUUGACGCUGAGGCGCGAAGGCUAGGGGAGCAAACGGG
This 253-nucleotide ribosomal RNA is filed under the name uncultured bacterium. RNAcentral describes it as "partial 16S ribosomal RNA". It matches the Rfam family "Bacterial small subunit ribosomal RNA", at positions 524 to 776 of the family's 1533-position model. The record is from RNAcentral.